Molecule: long non-coding RNA, 236 nt
Filed under: Musa acuminata (dwarf banana)
Lineage: Eukaryota; Viridiplantae; Streptophyta; Magnoliopsida; Zingiberales; Musaceae
Description: long non-coding RNA (MACU_LNC009369)
Source: RNAcentral
GUGGGGUGUGUGUGUGGGGGCAAAGGAAAACCCUAAUGAGAUUGGGGAAACCUCAAAGGACACGGUCGGUCUCCAUCUCGAGCUUAAUCGUAGUUAAUAACCGACCUCUAUCUCUCCGCCGUGUCCCGGGGGUGGGAGGAAAGGGUUGGGCUGGGGGGACGAGGGAAUUUAAUAGCCGUGUGAUCUUCUGGAAUAGUUGUAUCCUUUUCGGACGGACGGGAGCUAUUUGAGCUUUU